This 492-nucleotide ribosomal RNA is filed under the name uncultured bacterium. RNAcentral's name for it is "partial 16S ribosomal RNA". It matches the Rfam family "Bacterial small subunit ribosomal RNA", at positions 29 to 507 of the family's 1533-position model. The record is from RNAcentral.
AGUGAACGCUGGCGGUAGGCCUAACACAUGCAAGUCGAACGGCAGCACAGUAAGAGCUUGCUCUUACGGGUGGCGAGUGGCGGACGGGUGAGGAAUACAUCGGAAUCUACUUUUUCGUGGGGGAUAACGUAGGGAAACUUACGCUAAUACCGCAUACGACCUACGGGUGAAAGCAGGGGAUCUUCGGACCUUGCGCGAUUGAAUGAGCCGAUGUCGGAUUAGCUAGUUGGCGGGGUAAAGGCCCACCAAGGCGACGAUCCGUAGCUGGUCUGAGAGGAUGGUCAGCCACACUGGAACUGAGACACGGUCCAGACUCCUAAGGGAGGCAGCAGUGGGGAAUAUUGGGCAAUGGGCGCAAGCCUGAUCCAGCCAGACCGCGUGGGUGAAGAAGGCCUUCGGGUUGUAAAGCCCUUUUGUUGGGAAAGAAAAGCAGCAGGUUAAUACCCCGCUGUUCUGACGGUACCCAAAGAAUAAGCACCGGCUAACUUCGUG